RNAcentral lists this long non-coding RNA (314 nucleotides) under Linum usitatissimum (flax). RNAcentral describes it as "long non-coding RNA (LUSI_LNC001281)". The record is from RNAcentral. Lineage: Eukaryota; Viridiplantae; Streptophyta; Magnoliopsida; Malpighiales; Linaceae.
UCUGACGCACGAGGAUACAUAUCAUUCCACAUUAACGUGUGCAUAUUAGUAAUGCACAUGAACCUACAUAUCAACAUAAUCUUUGUGGAGUAAAUACCUGCUUGCAGAAGAUGUCUAUUUCAUCAUGAAGAAGGGCAUGCAUCAGAGAAAGAGAAGUUUUCCUUGCAGGACACUUCACUAAAUCAGGAGGUUGUACCGGAAAUGUCACAUCUGGCUGCACAUUACCAAACGUUAGACUUGAUUUCAAUCAGAUGGGCUUAAUCACAAAUAUUGGAAUAAACUUACAUGCUCUUGGUCACGGGCUAAUUGGGAUA